Molecule: ribosomal RNA, 253 nt
Filed under: uncultured bacterium
Lineage: Bacteria
Also listed under: 1 other name
Description: partial 16S ribosomal RNA
Rfam family: Bacterial small subunit ribosomal RNA
Source: RNAcentral
UACAGAGGUCCCAAGCGUUGUUCGGAUUCACUGGGCGUAAAGGGUGCGCAGGUGGCGGGAAAAGUUUGAUGUGAAAUCUCCGGGCUUAACCCGGAAAUGGCAUUGAAUACUCUUCCGCUGGAGGUUUGGAGGGGGGACUGGAAUUCUUGGUGUAGCAGUGAAAUGCGUAGAUAUCAAGAGGAACACCAGUGGCGAAGGCGAGUCCCUGGACAACACCUGACACUGAGGCACGAAAGCUAGGGGAGCAAACAGG